GCGCGGAGCACGAGGAAUUCUGCGUGAAUCUGCCGGGACCAUCCGGUAAGGCUAAAUACUCCCGAGAGACCGAUAGUGAACCAGUACUGUGAAGGAAAGGUGAAAAGCACUUCGAACAGAAGAGUGAAAUAGUUCCUGAAACCAUGUGCCUACAAGCGGUCGGAGCACCUUCUGGUGUGACGGCGUGCCUUUUGCAUAAUGAACCUACGAGUUACUUUUUCCGGCGAGGUUAAGGAUUUCAGAUCUGCAGCCGAAGCGAAAGCGAGUCUGAACAGGGCGUAUAGUCGGAAGGAGUAGACGCGAAACCAAGUGAUCUACCCUUGGGCAGGUUGAAGGAUGGGUAACACCAUCUGGAGGACCGAACCAAUAAGCGUUGAAAAGCUUCUGGAUGACCUGAGGGUGGGGGUGAAAGGCUAAUCAAACUUGGAGAUAGCUCGUACUCCCCGAAAUGCAUUUAGGUGCAGCCUUGACUUAUACUGGCAUGAGGUAGAGCGACUGAUAAGAUGCGAGGGCUUCACCGCCUAUCAAGUCUUGACAAACUCCGAAUGCGUGUCAGUUCUAUGUCAGGAGUGAGGGCAUGGGUGCUAAGGUCCAUGUCCUAAAGGAGAACAAUCCGGACCAACAGCUAAGGUCCCGAAAUGAAUACUAAGUUGAACUAACGAAGUCAGAUUGCUAAGACAGCUAGGAUGUUGGCUUGGAAGCAGCCAUUCAUUUAAAGAGUGCGUAACAGCUCACUAGUCGAGGAGUUUGGCGUGGAUAAUAAUCGGGCAUAAGUAUUCUACCGAAGCUUUGGGAUGAGAAAUCAUCGGUAGGGGAGCAUUCCACUCUGCGUCGAAGGUGAAGCGCGAGCUUUGCUGGAGCGUGUGGAAAAGCAAAUGUAGGUAUAAGUAACGAUAAAGGGGGUGGGAAACCCCCUCGCCGAAAGACUAAGGUUUCCUGAUCAACGCUAAUCGGAUCAGGGUAAGUCGGGUCCUAAGGCUCAGCCGAACGGCGAGGCCGAUGGCAGAACCGGUUAAUAUUCCGGUACUACCUGUGGGAGUGACGUGGAGACGGAGUCGUGACAGCGCCGCGGACUGACGGAAUAGUCCGUUGAAGGGUGUAGAUGCUGAUUGUUCCAGGCAAAUCCGGAGCAAGAGUCGAACCUGAUAGUAUGGAGCGUUCUUAGAACAAUCCAAUAGUGCGUGUAAUCAUACUUCCAAGAAAAUCCGCUAAACUUAAUCCUGCAGGUACCCGUACCGCAAACGGACACACGUAGUCGGGUUGAAUAUACUAAGGCGCUUGAGUGAUUCACGGUUAAGGAACUAGGCAAACUGACCCUGUAACUUCGGGAUAAAGGGUCCUCGCUUUACGGCGAGGCGCAGAGAAUAGGUCCAGGCAACUGUUUAACAAAAACACAGGGCUGUGCAAAAUUGAAAGAUGAAGUAUACAGCCUGACACCUGCCCGGUGCUGGAAGGUUAAGAGGAGAUGUCAUCGCAAGAGAAGCAUUGAAUUGAAGCCCCAGUAAACGGCGGCCGUAACUAUAACGGUCCUAAGGUAGCGAAAUUCCUUGUCGGGUAAGUUCCGACCUGCACGAAUGGUGUAAUGAUCUGGACGCUGUCUCAACCGUGAGCUCAGUGAAAUUGUAGUAUCGGUGAAGAUGCCGAUUACCCGCGAUGGGACGAAAAGACCCCGUGAACCUUUACUAUAGCUUAACAUUGAAUUUGGGUAAUUGAUGUGUAGGAUAGGCCGGAGGCUUCGAAGCGGGCACGCCAGUGUCCGUGGAGCCGCUGUUGAAAUACGGCCCUUUGAUUAUUUGAGUUCUAACCCGUUGUUGCGGGGACACUGUUUGGUGGGUAGUUUGACUGGGGUGGUCGCCUCCAAAAGUGUAACGGAGGCUUCUAAAGGUGCCCUCACGACGAUUGGUAACCGUCGGCAGAGUGUAAUGGCAUAAGGGCGCUUGACUGGGAGACUUACAAGUCGAUCAGGUAGGAAACUAGAGCAUAGUGAUCCGGUGUUUCCGUAUGGAAGGGACAUCGCUCAAAGGAUAAAAGGUACUCCGGGGAUAACAGGCUGAUCCCUCCCAAGAGCUCAUAUCGACGGAGUGGUUUGGCACCUCGAUGUCGGCUCGUCACAUCCUGGGGCUGGAGAAGGUCCCAAGGGUUGGGCUGUUCGCCCAUUAAAGUGGCACGCGAGCUGGGUUCAGAACGUCGUGAGACAGUUCGGUCUCUAUCUAUCGUGGGCGCAUGAAAUUUGCGUGGCUCUGACACUAGUACGAGAGGACCGUGUUGGACUGACCUCUGGUUUACCGGUUGUGCCGCCAGGUGCAUUGCCGGGUAUCUAAGUCGGGAUUGGAUAAGUGCUGAAAGCAUCUAAGUACGAAGCCAGCCACAAGAUUAGAUUUCUCAGGGUCGUUGUAGACUACAACGUUGAUAGGAUGCAGGUGUACAGGCAGCGAUGUCAUAGCCGAGCAUUACUAAUUGCCCGUCCACUUUUU
RNAcentral lists this ribosomal RNA (2474 nucleotides) under human gut metagenome. RNAcentral describes it as "bacterial LSU rRNA". It matches the Rfam family "Bacterial large subunit ribosomal RNA", at positions 415 to 2925 of the family's 2925-position model. The record is from RNAcentral.